CCUACGGGGGGCAGCAGUCGGGAAUAUUGCGCAAUGGAGGCAACUCUGACGCAGUGACGCCGCGUAUAGGAAGAAGGUUUUCGGAUUGUAAACUAUUGUCCACAGGGAAGAUACAAGACUGUACCUGUGAAGAAAGCUCCGGCUAACUACGUGCCAGCAGCCGCGGUAAUACGUAGGGAGCAAGCGUUAUCCGGAAUUAUUGGGUGUAAAGGGUGCGUAGACGGGAUGACAAGUUGGUUGUGAAACCCCUCGGCUCAACUGAGGAACUGCAACCAAAACUAUUAUUCUUGAGUGCAGGAGAGGAAAGUGGAAUUCCUAGUGUAGCGGUGAAAUGCGUAGAUAUUAGGAAGAACACCGGUGGCGAAGGCGACUUUCUGGACUGUAACUGACGUUGAGGCAC
RNAcentral lists this ribosomal RNA (400 nucleotides) under uncultured bacterium. Its description in RNAcentral is "bacterial SSU rRNA". It matches the Rfam family "Bacterial small subunit ribosomal RNA", at positions 338 to 754 of the family's 1533-position model. The record is from RNAcentral.